GAUGAACGCUGGCGGCGUGCCUAAUACAUGCAAGUCGAGCGAACAGAUGAGUAGCUUGCUCCUCUGACGUUAGCGGCGGACGGGUGAGUAACACGUGGAUAACCUACCUAUAAGACUGGGAUAACUUCGGGAAACCGGAGCUAAUACCGGAUAAUAUAUUGAACCGCAUGGUUCAAUAGUGAAAGACGGUUUUGCUGUCACUUAUAGAUGGAUCCGCGCCGCAUUAGCUAGUUGGUAAGGUAACGGCUUACCAAGGCAACGAUGCGUAGCCGACCUGAGAGGGUGAUCGGCCACACUGGAACUGAGACACGGUCCAGACUCCUACGGGAGGCAGCAGUAGGGAAUCUUCCGCAAUGGGCGAAAGCCUGACGGAGCAACGCCGCGUGAGUGAUGAAGGUCUUCGGAUCGUAAAACUCUGUUAUUAGGGAAGAACAAAUGUGUAAGUAACUAUGUACGUCUUGACGGUACCUAAUCAGAAAGCCACGGCUAACUACGUG
RNAcentral lists this ribosomal RNA (497 nucleotides) under uncultured bacterium. RNAcentral describes it as "partial 16S ribosomal RNA". It matches the Rfam family "Bacterial small subunit ribosomal RNA", at positions 28 to 507 of the family's 1533-position model. The record is from RNAcentral.